This 1242-nucleotide ribosomal RNA is filed under the name metagenome. RNAcentral's name for it is "bacterial LSU rRNA". It matches the Rfam family "Bacterial large subunit ribosomal RNA", at positions 1564 to 2816 of the family's 2925-position model. The record is from RNAcentral.
UGAAUACGAGAUGCUACGGCGUCGAAGCAGUCUAUGUCAUACUUCCAAGAAAAGCUCGCACUGUCAUAAACAAAUAAUGCCUGUACCAUAACCGACACAGGUGGGUAGGUAGAGUAUACUAAGGGGCGCGAGAUAACUCUCUCUAAGGAACUCGGCAAAAUGACUCCGUAACUUCGGGAGAAUGAGUGCCUUAUUUAUAAGGUUGCAAUAACAAGAUCCAAGCAACUGUUUAUCAAAAACACAGGUCUCCGCUAAGUCGUAAGACGAUGUAUGGGGGCUGACGCCUGCCCAGUGCCAGAAGGUUAAAGAAGUUGGUUAGCAUUCGCGAAGCUGAUAACUGAAGCCCUGGUGAACGGCGGCCGUAACUAUAACGGUCCUAAGGUAGCGAAAUUCCUUGUCGGGUAAGUUCCGACCCGCACGAAAGGCGUAAUGAUUUGGAUACUGUCUCGGAGAGGGGCUCGGUGAAAUAGACUUGUCUGUGAAGAUGCGGACUACCUGCACCAGGACAGAAAGACCCUAUGAAGCUUUACUGUAACUUGAGAUUGAAAUUGGACUUUACUUGCGCAGUAUAGGUGGGAGGCGUUGAUAAUAUUCUUGCGGGAUUAUUUGAGCCAUCAGUGAGAUACCACUCUUGUAAUGUUAGAUUUCUAACUUUGUAUCAUUAUCUGGUCAAAGGACAGUUUCAGGCGGGCAGUUUGACUGGGGCGGUCGCCUCCUAAACGGUAACGGAGGCGCACAAAGGUUUCCUCUGAACGGGUAGAAAUCGUAUCUAGAGUGUAAAGGCAUAAGGAAGCUUGACUGUGAGACCUACAAGUCGAGCAGGGACGAAAGUCGGUCUUAGUGAUCUGACGGUGCUGAGUGGAAAGGCCGUCACUCAACGGAUAAAAGUUACUCUAGGAUAACAGGCUGAUCUCCCCCAAGAGUUCACAUCGACGGGGAGGUUUGGCACCUCGAUGUCGGCUCAUCGCAUCCUGGGGCGGUAGUACGUCCCAAGGGUUGGGCUGUUCGCCCAUGAAAGCGGUACGCGAGCUGGGUUCAGAACGUCGUGAGACAGUUCGGUCCAUAUCCGGUGUAGGCGUUAGAAUAUUGAGAGGAGCCUUCUUUAGUACGAGAGGACCGAGAAGGACAUACCUCUGGUGUACCAGUUAUCGUGCCAACGGUAAACGCUGGGUAGCUAUGUAUGGAGUGGAUAACCGCUGAAAGCAUCUAAGUGGGAAGCCCACCUCAAGAUAAGUAUUCUCA